AUGUGCUAUGCGAUUCCAUGGUGCACUCCCUACAUUACCCAGAGAUAUUGUGAUGAACUGAGUGGAUUCAAAAUAAGCUCUCAAAACUCAAUUACAUUGAAGGGUAUUGAAUGCGAAAGAAAUGUUAAAGACAACAUUAUAAACACUCUAAAAAGUAUGAGAAAAAUAGCAUUGCUUUUAAUCGUUCUUCUCUUUUUAAAGGAGACAGGAAACCUAAUGUAAAAUGAAAACAAAAUGUUAAGAAAUCUUCAUCAAUAAAGAAUUUCAAGUUGGGGAAUGCA
This 281-nucleotide long non-coding RNA is filed under the name Anser brachyrhynchus (Pink-footed goose). RNAcentral describes it as "lncRNA (ENSABRG00000001620.1)". The record is from RNAcentral. Lineage: Eukaryota; Metazoa; Chordata; Aves; Anseriformes; Anatidae.